UACGAAGGGUGCAAACGUUGCUCGGAAUUACUGGGCGUAAAGGGCGCGUAGGCGGCCUUCUAAGUCGAACGUGAAAUCCCCGGGCUCAACCCGGGAACUGCGUCCGAUACUGGAAGGCUUGAAUCCGGGAGAGGGAUGCGGAAUUCCAGGUGUAGCGGUGAAAUGCGUAGAUAUGCGGAGGAACACCGAUGGCGAAGGCAAUCCCCUGGACCUGUACUGACGCUCAUGCACGAAAGCGUGGGGAGCAAACAGG
This 253-nucleotide ribosomal RNA is filed under the name uncultured bacterium. RNAcentral describes it as "partial 16S ribosomal RNA". It matches the Rfam family "Bacterial small subunit ribosomal RNA", at positions 524 to 776 of the family's 1533-position model. The record is from RNAcentral.